UACGUAGAUGGCAAGCGUUGUCCGGAUUUAUUGGGUUUAAAGGGUGCGUAGGCGGUUCAUUAAGUCAGCGGUGAAAUACGACAGCUUAACUGUCGAGGUGCCAUUGAUACUGGAGAACUUGAGUACUGAUGAGGUAUGCGGAAUGGACGGUAUAGCGGUGAAAUGCUUAGAUAUCAUCCAGAACACCGAUAGCGAAGGCAGCAUACUAAGGAGUAACUGACGCUGAGGCACGAAAGUAUGGGGAUCAAAC
Molecule: ribosomal RNA, 250 nt
Filed under: uncultured bacterium
Lineage: Bacteria
Description: partial 16S ribosomal RNA
Rfam family: Bacterial small subunit ribosomal RNA
Source: RNAcentral